GUGAGAAUCCCGUAUGUGACCGGCGAUCAAGCCCAUGUGAAACUCCUUCGACGAGUCGAGUUGUUUGGGAAUGCAGCUCAAAAUGGGUGGUAUAUUUCAUCUAAAGCUAAAUACCGGCCAGAGACCGAUAGCGCACAAGUAGAGUGAUCGAAAGAUGAAAAGCACUUUGGAAAGAGAGUCAAACAGUACGUGAAAUUGUUGAAAGGGAAGCGCUCGCAACCAGACCUGCCCGCGGCCGAUCAACCGUCCUUCUGGGCGGUGCACUCGGCCGCGAUCAGGCCAGCAUCGGUUCGGGCGGCCGGAUAAAGGCCCUGGGAACGUAGCUCCUUUCGGGGAGUGUUAUAGCCCUCGGUGCAAUGCGGCCAGCCUGGACCGAGGACCGCGCUUCGGCUAGGAUGCUGGCGUAAUGGUUGUGAGCGGCCCGUCUUGAAACACGGACCAAGGAGUCUAACAUCUAUGCGAGUGUUUGGGUGUCAAACCCAUGCGCGUAAUGAAAGUGAACGGAGGUGGGAACCCAUUCGGG
RNAcentral lists this ribosomal RNA (523 nucleotides) under Pyrenodesmia microstepposa. RNAcentral describes it as "partial large subunit ribosomal RNA". It matches the Rfam family "Eukaryotic large subunit ribosomal RNA", at positions 212 to 753 of the family's 3401-position model. Lineage: Eukaryota; Fungi; Ascomycota; Lecanoromycetes; Teloschistales; Teloschistaceae. The record is from RNAcentral.